UCAUGAUGAUGAUGAUGAUGAUGAUGAUGAUGAUGAUGAUGACGAUCAUCAUCAUCGUUAUGAUCAUCAGCAGCAAAA
RNAcentral lists this microRNA precursor (78 nucleotides) under Glossina palpalis gambiensis. RNAcentral's name for it is "microRNA mir-598". The record is from RNAcentral. Lineage: Eukaryota; Metazoa; Arthropoda; Insecta; Diptera; Glossinidae.